This 77-nucleotide transfer RNA is filed under the name Nitrospinota bacterium. Its description in RNAcentral is "tRNA-Pro". It matches the Rfam family "tRNA". From Rfam's summary of the family: Transfer RNA (tRNA) molecules are approximately 80 nucleotides in length. Their secondary structure includes four short double-helical elements and three loops (D, anti-codon, and T loops). Lineage: Bacteria; Pseudomonadati; Nitrospinota. The record is from RNAcentral.
CGGGAUGUAGCGCAGCCUGGUAGCGUACCUGCUUCGGGAGUUGGGGGUCGGAGGUUCAAAUCCUCUCAUCCCGACCA